Daphnia pulicaria is the source of this 3115-nucleotide long non-coding RNA. RefSeq lists it as uncharacterized. Lineage: Eukaryota; Metazoa; Arthropoda; Branchiopoda; Diplostraca; Daphniidae. The record is from RefSeq and is a predicted model, not a curated record. The transcript has 4 exons.
CCCCGACCUUAGACCCUAGAACCGUUCCCCAGUGAUGAUUCUUUUUUGCUGCACAUCGGACGCCAAGUUUUAAAAAAGAAACGAAAAUCCUUUGACGAAUAUCUACGGUUUGAAGGUCGCGACUUGGUAGCGUGUGAACUCCGUCCACUUAUUACUGAUCCCGUUGUCUGCAUGUCAAUCGAUAAUUAACCUUCUUCUUCUUCUUCUAGCUCUCUCACUGCCAUCCCUUGUAAUAAGUGAGUCUGACUUAUUUCAUUACGUCAAGUCAUCAAGCUUCACCGCUGUGUCUAUGCGCAGACAACAUUGGUUUUCAUUAACGGUAGUUAAUUUGAGUCUAUGUGCAUAACAUGCUUCGCUAGUUCGCCCACACGACGACAGCAGUUCUUCCGGGUCUCUUUUAGGAUGAGAGCGCAAUCAAACGGGACAAAUAGUCUCGGGUAAUCUAAAUAGACAACGAGCGGCAAGUAUAAACAAAACCCAAAAUAUAAUUUAAAGAGCACUCGGAAAGCCCCCCACAUGUAUUUUAUCCUGUUGGUCGGCAGGGUGAGAAAACUAUCGGGAUUGCGGGAGCGAUGAGAACUUCCCUGGAUGGACGGCAGCAGCAGACCGAUGGACCCAGGAGCCAGCCAGCGAGAGGAAAAAGCAACGGGACAGCAGAUGUUGUUGCUGUUUGGCCGCACGGCGUUUUUCAACGGUUAUUUAAUAUAUGUAUACAGCCGUGUAUACUCUACUAUCUAUCUAUCAGCAGCGCAACCGGUUCUUCUUCUUUCGCAUAACUGGAGUGCUGCCCGUGGACACGUAAGGUGGAAUUUGUAGCGGCAUUCAAUCACCUAGAGCUAUGGCUCGUAUAUGUGCAAACGUAAAUCAUAUCAUUUUGUAGAUGCAUGCUCUAAUUGGUCCGCCAGAUGGCCCAGGAAACUGCUGAGAACUCUUUGAAGACGGCUAGAUUUUGCAGAAGGAAAAGCCGGUGCAAGCAGGUCAAAACAAAGGAAUUAUAACCGGCUCAUCAGCCGUUAAACUGAUUAGGUAUAACCUUCGCCUACGCUCACCUAUAAUUUUUGUUUUUUUCAAAAAUAACGCAAAGGUUUUGUGUGUUUACAUCAUUUUGAAAUGAGAAUCACGUCAUCGCGUUGGGGUCGACUACUCAUAAAAAAAAAGAAGUGAUGUGCCCCGUCAUCAGAUCGACCUAGUGGCCCUUUCCACAGUGAAACCACCAGACCAGCAAAGGACGCGUACGAUAUUACGUGCCCGGACACGACCGAUGGCAUUCCAUUCGAUUGCACGACGCUCCUGACUGAGCCGCCUGGCACAUCCGUAAUGUGUGAACGGGUUGAAUCCGUUAUCUUCCGCAUUCAUCAGCGUAUGCAAUAUAGGAAGAGGGGGGGUAAGGACAAAAAAGAAAUACAAAAUUACGAUGGUAUGUAGUCGAAGGACGCCCAGCCUUAAAUGCCGCUAUAACUAAUGAAAUAAGACGUCACGGGAAACUGGAUUCGUCCGCAUAUUUGAUGAUGAUGAUGAUCCAAUUGAUGUUUUCUGUUUUUGUUUUAGUUUUAUUUGCCAGUUUGGUAUUGGAAAAAACAAAAACAGUUUCAGGUAUAACUAGUUUAUUUAUAGAUAGCCUGGCGGCUGGCGGUAUGCUAUGACCAACGCAUUAGGGCCGUAAAUUAAUUUCGGGAAAUGUAUAAUACAGCUUUCCGGUCGAACGAGAUUGAGGUGGGCAACUUGUUCUUGGACGUUUUUUUUAUUUUGUCGUAAAUUUCUGUCAGGGAUGACAAUGUCGCUAAAUGGUAAAUGGAACGUCAAAGGAAAAGGGGAAUCGGACUAGUGGAAAAUCUGGAUACAUAAUUGGUCAAUUCGAAACAGUGGUAAAAGAAAAAUAUUGAAGAACAAGACGAAGAAGUGUUGCAGCAAUAUUUUGAUUCGGGAUCUUGAUUUUCUAGAGCGGAAGAGAAAAGGGAAAGAAUGGGGUCUAGAAAGAAAAUGAGACAUCCGAUUACGUAUUAUUAUAUACAUAAAGUGGGACCGUGCUUGGCUUUGUGGGUUGGGUGGUGAGACAUUCUAAGAUGAAAAUGAGGAUAGUCAUCUUCUUCUUUUUAUUUUAUUUUUUCGUCUAUAUCCCGCCAAGUCUUUGCCAAAUUGUCGGUGGUGGGUUCGAACGUGACGAACGGCUAUGGGUGGAAUUGAGGUCGAAGUAAGGCGCGGUUCCGCUCCGUCCGCUCUCCGCGUGCCACACCGGAGAAAACCGACCAUCAUCACUUUUUCUCCCGCAAAAGUCCGCGUCCGCAUUCAUUUUUUUUCCCUCAAAAGAAGAUAGAUGAAAACACGGGACUGGCUCAUCUGGGUGUUUGUUUUGUAUAUGAUUGCGCCACUAUGGCGUAACCUUGCCAUCCGCUACUGACGGUACACAUGGCCAACUCGGAGAAAGUCGGAAGUCGGCCGCGAUCUUUUCUUUUCUUUUGGUUAGUCUUGCACGUCGAGCAGCAGACGCUCUUUUGGUCAAUCAGGUCAUUGCGGUACGUCAAGAUGGACUCUCCUCUAGCACUCCUUUACUUUCUUGAGGCAGGCAAAUCUUGCGUCAUGCGCUUGAAAAUGCGCACAAUCGAAUCACGAAAGAAGAAAUCACGGUGGACGUUUAUGAUAGUUCAUUUGAAACAUAGCCAUAUGGAAACCAAACAUUUUCUCGGUCGGAAUUUUGAACAUGUUUUACGUGAUUCGACCUUUUCGAAAAAUAAAUACCAAUCGGAAGUACCUUUGACCUAGACUUUGAAAAGAAAAAAGAAGGACGGCCGUGCCUAAGAGGUCGCUAACCCCUUUUUCCUAUUUGAUAUUUAAUAUUAGACUCUCGUCUUUGCCCUUCAUACUCGGUUAAAUUAAAAAGGAAAAAAGCAUUUCGCUGUUUUCGCUACUAGUUUGGGCGCUCGUCAUCAAUUCGGUGUAAAGAAACAAAAGAAUAACGACGUGGAAACAUGCUUUACAGUUAGGACCCAAGCAGCCAAACCCGAGUCCACAUAGCGAGAUGUUGCGUCGACUUUCACUAAAAACGGUCGCCUAUUCUUGUGCUACUCUAUUACGAUUCUUUUAAAAAAGAUAAAGUUUUUCCUCCCUGUAUUUUACC